AACGGCCAUACCAUGAUGAAUAUACCGGCUCUCGUUAGAUCACCGAAGUCAAGCAUCAUUGGGCGCGGUCAGUACUUGGGUGGGUGACCACCUGGGAACACCGCGUGCCGUU
Molecule: ribosomal RNA, 112 nt
Filed under: Caerostris extrusa
Lineage: Eukaryota; Metazoa; Arthropoda; Arachnida; Araneae; Araneidae
Source: RNAcentral